Molecule: long non-coding RNA, 2484 nt
Organism: Homo sapiens (human)
Lineage: Eukaryota; Metazoa; Chordata; Mammalia; Primates; Hominidae
Exons: 2
Source: RefSeq, a predicted model, not a curated record
GAGUGCAGUGGCGCGAUCUCGGCUCACUGCAAGCUCCGCCUCCCGGGUUCACGCCAUUCUCCUGCCUCAGCCUCCUGAGUAGCUGGGACUACAGGCGUCCGCCACCAAACCCGGCUAAUUUCUUUUGUAUUUUUAGUAGAGACGGGGUUUCACCAUGUUACCUAGGAUGGUCUCGAUCUCCUGACCUCAUGAUCCGCCCGCCUUGGCCUCCCAAAGUGCUGGGAUUACAGGCGUGAGCCACCGUGCCCGGCCAAUAAGGGAGAAUUUCUGGAGCAUCUGUAAAUUCUCUACUUUAAGCUGCUUCAAAUAGAAAGCAGCCCUGCUUUUUGUGUUUCUACAAAAGACUGGGCAGAAACCUGCCUGUCCUUCAGGGUCCCAAAUGAGCAGUGUAUGAAGUUCCAGUUUCUUCACAUCUUUGACAACAAUUUCCUAUUAUAUGGCUGGACAGUGGUAACUUAUUGUGGUUUUAAUUUGCAUUUCCCUAAUGUCUAAUGAUGUUGAGCAUCUUUUCAUAUGCUUAUUUGUCAUCUGUAUAGCUUCUUUGGUGAAGCAACAGCUCAAAUAGUUUGCCCAUUUUUUAUUGGAGGUUUGUUUUCUUAUGUAGUUGUAAGAGUUCUUUAUAUAUUCUGAGUACAAGUUCUUUAUGAGAUGUAUCCUUUGAAAUGUUCUUUCCUGGUUGAUGACUUGUCUUUUCAUUAUCUUAACAGUAUAUUUUGAAGAGCAGAAGUUUUUAAUUUUUCUGAAGUUGAAUUUCUUUCUUUCUUUCUUUCUUUUUUUUGAGACAGAGUCUUGCAAUGUCACCCAGGCCGGAGUGCAAUGGCGUGAUCUCGUCUCACUGCAACCUCCACCUCCCGGGAUCAAGCGAUUCUCCUGCCUCAGCCUCCCAAGCAGCUGGGAUUACAGGCGCCCGCCACCAUGCCCGGCUAAUUUUUUGUAUUUUAGUAGAGACGGGGUUUCACUAUGUUGCCCAGGCUGGUCUCAAACACCUGCCCUCGUGAUCCGCCCGCGUCGGCCUCCCAAAGUGCUGGGAUUACAGGUGUGAGUCACUGUGCCCGGCCUCUUUUUCUUUUUGUUUGAGACUGAGUCUCACUCUGUCAUCCAGGCUGGAGUGCAGUGGGACCAUCACAGAUCACUGCAGCCUCAAGCUCCCCGGCUCAAGCGAGCCUUCCACCUCAGUCUCCAGAGUAGCUGAGACUAUAGGCAUGUGCCAUCAUGUCCAGCCAGUUUUUAAAUUUUUUGUAUAGACAGGGUCUUUCUAUGUUGCCAGGGCUGGUCUGGAACUCCUGGGCUCAAGUGAUCUUCCCGCCUCAGCCUCCCAAAGUGCUGUGAUUAGAGGCAUGAGUCACUGUGCCCAGUUUUAAUUUUCUUUUAUGGAUUUUGGUGCUAUACCUAGGAAAUCUUUACCUGACCUAGUAUCACAGACUUUAUUCUAUUUAUAAGAAAUGUUAUAGCUUUAGGUUUUAUGUUUCGGCUAUGAUCCAUUUUGAGUUAAUUUCUGCAUAUGAUAUGAGGUAUGGAUGGGAGUUCAUUGUUUUCCAUCUGGAUAUGCAAUUGUUCCAGCACCAUUUAUUGAAAAGACUAUCCUUGACCCACUGAAUUUUCUUCAUACAUUUGUUAAAAAUCAGUGUCCAUAAUAUGUGGGUGUUUUUCUCAGACUCUCUUGUCAUAGUCAGUUUGGGCUGCUAUGACAGAGCACCAUAAACUGGGUGGUUCAUAAACCACAAAAAUAUUUUUCUCAUAGUUCUGGAAGCUGGAAGUCCAAGAGAAGGUGCCAGCAUGGUAGGGUUCUCCUGAGGGCCCUCUCCAAGUUGUAGAUGGCUUACUUCUUGCUGUAUCUUCACAUAGCAGAGAACAGAGAGGGAAAGCAAGCUCUCUCAUGACUUUAUAAGUACACUAAUUCCAUUAAUGAGGUCUCCAUCCAUACGACCUCAUCUAAACCUAAUCACCUCUCAAAGGUCCCACCUCCUGAUACCAUCAUAUUGGGCAGUAGGGUUUCAACAUAUACAUUUUGAAUAGGACACAAACAUUCAGUCCAUACCACUCAAUUCUAUUGUUUUGUUCUAUUUUUCUAUCUUCACACCAAUAAUACACAGUCUUGAAUACUGUAUAAGUCUUUAUAAGUCUUUAAAUCAGGUAGUAUUUGCCUUCCAAAUUUGUUCUUUUUUUUUCCAAAAUUGUUUUGGUUAUUGCAGUACUUUACAUUUCCACAUAAAUUUUAUAAUCAAUUUGCAAAUUCCAAAAAAAGUCUGCUGGGAUUUUGAUUUGAAUUGCUUUGAAUAUGUAGAACAAAUUGGAAAUAAUUGACAUCAUAACAAUAUUUAGUUUUCUGGAUCAGAACAAAGUAUGACUCUCCAUUUAUUAAGUUAUUCUUUCACUUCUUUCAACAAUGUUUUAUAGUGUUCAGUGUGUAGGCUUUUCACAUCUUAUGUCAGAUUUAUCUCUAUGUAUUUAAUGUUUUUUAAUUAAAAAAUUUUUAUGAAUCAA